GUCCUCUUGUCCGAGUGGUUAAAGGGUUAGAUUUGAAAUCUAAUAGGCUCUGCCCGCAUAGGCUCAAAUCCUGCAGGGGCCG
This 82-nucleotide transfer RNA is filed under the name Geranomyces variabilis. RNAcentral describes it as "tRNA-Ser". It matches the Rfam family "tRNA". From Rfam's summary of the family: Transfer RNA (tRNA) molecules are approximately 80 nucleotides in length. The record is from RNAcentral. Lineage: Eukaryota; Fungi; Chytridiomycota; Chytridiomycetes; Spizellomycetales; Powellomycetaceae.